AUUGGACGCUGGCGGCAUGCCUUACACAUGCAAGUCGAACGGCAGCGGACCUUCGGGUGCCGGCGAGUGGCGAACGGGUGAGUAAUAUAUCGGAACGUACCUUUCAGUGGGGGAUAACGUAGCGAAAGUUACGCUAAUACCGCAUAUUCUGUGAGCAGGAAAGCAGGGGAUCGCAAGACCUUGCGCUGAUUGAGCGGCCGAUAUCAGAUUAGCUAGUUGGUGAGGUAAAGGCUCACCAAGGCGACGAUCUGUAGCGGGUCUGAGAGGAUGAUCCGCCACACUGGAACUGAGACACGGUCCAGACUCCUACGGGAGGCAGCAGUGGGGAAUUUUGGACAAUGGGCGCAAGCCUGAUCCAGCCAUGCCGCGUGAGUGAAGAAGGCCU
This 385-nucleotide ribosomal RNA is filed under the name uncultured bacterium. RNAcentral's name for it is "bacterial SSU rRNA". It matches the Rfam family "Bacterial small subunit ribosomal RNA", at positions 30 to 417 of the family's 1533-position model. The record is from RNAcentral.